RNAcentral lists this transfer RNA (72 nucleotides) under Cajanus cajan (pigeon pea). RNAcentral describes it as "tRNA gene-KK1_009468". The record is from RNAcentral. Lineage: Eukaryota; Viridiplantae; Streptophyta; Magnoliopsida; Fabales; Fabaceae.
UGUCAGAGCCAGGUUUCGAUCGUUGAACGUGUGGGUUAUGGGCCAACCACGUUACCGCCACGCCACUUUGAU